This 70-nucleotide transfer RNA is filed under the name Dipodomys ordii (Ord's kangaroo rat). It matches the Rfam family "tRNA". Rfam says of the family: Transfer RNA (tRNA) molecules are approximately 80 nucleotides in length. Their secondary structure includes four short double-helical elements and three loops (D, anti-codon, and T loops). Further hydrogen bonds mediate the characteristic L-shaped molecular structure. tRNAs have two regions of fundamental functional importance: the anti-codon, which is responsible for specific mRNA codon recognition, and the 3' end, to which the tRNAs corresponding amino acid is attached (by aminoacyl-tRNA synthetases). tRNAs cope with the degeneracy of the genetic code in two manners: having more than one tRNA (with a specific anti-codon) for a particular amino acid; and 'wobble' base-pairing, i.e. permitting non-standard base-pairing at the 3rd anti-codon position. The record is from Rfam by way of RNAcentral. Lineage: Eukaryota; Metazoa; Chordata; Mammalia; Rodentia; Heteromyidae.
GGGAAUGUGGCUUAGUGGUAGAGUGCUUGCCUAGCAUGCAUGAAGCCUUGGGUUCGAUUCCUCACUACCA